GUUCUACUGGGGCGUUGGUGACUGCCAAUAGAGUUUUUUGAUCUAUGCCUCUAUAUAUAAGGGAACCAAGCGCUCUCGCAGCAGUAUACCGGGCAUGACCCGGAAACUUUAAGCGAGAUCCUAACGGUACCCACCUGGUGAACCCAGGUCAUAAACUGAGGUAAGACGGCGUCCUGGGGAACCU
Molecule: non-coding RNA, 184 nt
Filed under: Coleofasciculus sp. S288
Lineage: Bacteria; Bacillati; Cyanobacteriota; Cyanophyceae; Coleofasciculales; Coleofasciculaceae
Description: 6S RNA
Rfam family: 6S / SsrS RNA
About the family: E. coli 6S RNA was the first non coding RNA to be sequenced, but its function was unknown until recently. It consists of 184 nucleotides that fold into an extended hairpin structure with a large single-stranded internal bulge.
Source: RNAcentral